CAGCCGCCGCGGGAAUACGGAGGGGGCUAGCGUUGUUCGGAAUUACUGGGCGUAAAGCGCACGUAGGCGGCUUGGUAAGUUAGAGGUGAAAGCCCGGAGCUCAACUCCGGAAUUGCCUUUAAGACUGCCGAGCUAGUAGGUGAGAGAGGUAAGUGGAAUUCCGAGUGUAAAGGUGAAAUUCGUAGAUAUUCGGGAGAACACCAGUGGCGAAGGCGGCUUACUGGCUCAUUCUAGACGCUGAGGUGCGAAAGCGUGGGGAGCAAACAGGAUUAGAUACCCCCGUAGUCCCUGUCUCUUAUAC
This 301-nucleotide ribosomal RNA is filed under the name uncultured bacterium. RNAcentral describes it as "partial 16S ribosomal RNA". It matches the Rfam family "Bacterial small subunit ribosomal RNA", at positions 509 to 807 of the family's 1533-position model. The record is from RNAcentral.